Molecule: long non-coding RNA, 317 nt
Organism: Diorhabda sublineata
Lineage: Eukaryota; Metazoa; Arthropoda; Insecta; Coleoptera; Chrysomelidae
Exons: 2
Source: RefSeq, a predicted model, not a curated record
UUUACACAUUAGGCAUUGAUUUACUUUGAAAAUCAUAUUGAAGAUGAAAUAUAUCGUUUUUUUAUCUAUUUUUUGCAUAUUAGUGCAAUUAAGCGAAUUAGUCAGCGGACAAGGGGCAGAUAUGGGUAAUCUAGCUAAAACGGGGAUGAACGCAGCAUCUGAAAUGGCAAAAAUUCCAAUGGAUGCAAUGAAAAAUGCAAUGAAAUCGGCCAGCGAUAUGGCAUCAAUACCAUCACAAGCUAUGAGCGGUUUUGGGAAGAAAAAAUAACGUUUCGUACGAAAUUAUAUAAUAUAUAAUAAAGGCAUGUUAAAUUGAA